RNAcentral lists this ribosomal RNA (475 nucleotides) under uncultured bacterium. RNAcentral describes it as "bacterial SSU rRNA". It matches the Rfam family "Bacterial small subunit ribosomal RNA", at positions 325 to 793 of the family's 1533-position model. The record is from RNAcentral.
CACUGUCACUCCUACGGGAGGCAGCAGUGGGGAAGUAUUGCACAAUGGGCGCAAGCCUGAUGCAGCCAUGCCGCGUGUGUGAAGAAGGCCUUCGGGUUGUAAAGCACUUUCAGUCGUGAGGAAGGUAGUGUAGUUAAUAGCUGCAUUAUUUGACGUUAGCGACAGAAGAAGCACCGGCUAACUCCGUGCCAGCAGCCGCGGUAAUACGGAGGGUGCGAGCGUUAAUCGGAAUUACUGGGCGUAAAGCGCAUGCAGGUGGUUUGUUAAGUCAGAUGUGAAAGCCCCGGGGCUCAACCUCGGAAUUGCAUUUGAAACUGGCAGACUAGAGUACUGUAGAGGGGGUAGAAUUUCAGGUGUAGCGGUGAAAUGCGUAGAGAUCUGAAGGAAUACCGGUGGCGAAGGCGGCCCCCCUGGACAGAUACUGACACUCAGAUGCGAAAGCGUGGGGAGCAAACAGGAUUAGAUACCCUGGUAG